Long non-coding RNA from Chenopodium quinoa (quinoa), 519 nucleotides. RefSeq lists it as uncharacterized. The record is from RefSeq and is a predicted model, not a curated record. The transcript has 2 exons. Lineage: Eukaryota; Viridiplantae; Streptophyta; Magnoliopsida; Caryophyllales; Amaranthaceae.
CAUAAACAAAGAAAAUCAUAGUAUAACCAGAAAACAUAAAUCAAUCACUAAAUUUCAAAGAGAAGAGAGAAAGAAAGAGAGUAAAAAUGUACUCAGAUCAGCCACCUCCAGCUCAAGAAAUAACAUACGUAGAUCAUGUUAAGCGACGCCAUGAAGAGAAAGGAUGCAUCUAUGCAACUUGUUUUGCGUUAUGCUGCUGCUUCUGCUGUUACGAAACCUGUGAAUGCUGCUUUGAUAUCCUCUGCUGUUGCUGUUAAGCACGAGCCUUAGUUUCAGAAAGAAACUAUCUGUACUAUCGUUAUAUUGUACAGUACUGCUUUAUGUGUAUGAGCUUGUAUUUGGAUUGAGCUGGGUUUGCAUCAUAUUUAUGUCGAGUUUAGCUUCUAGCUGUCGCUUUGAAUUCAUAAAGUUCUGUAUUAUUUCAGCAAGAAGUUCAUGUAAUACUAGUACGGCUGUAAUUGAUUGGGUUUUUUAAUUUGUAAUGUACUUUAUACAAAGUAACAGAGAUUCAAGAUUGAA